UUUAGAGGAAGUAAAAGUCGUAACAAGGUUUCCGUAGGUGAACCUGCGGAAGGAUCAUUAUUGAAAUAAACCUGAUAAGUUGUUGCUGGUUCUCUAGGGAACAUUGUGCACACUUGUCAUCUUUAUAUCUCCACCUGUGCACCUUUUGUAGACCUGGAUGUCUCUCCGAGUGCUUGUUUUGCACCUUGGGUUUUGAGGAUUGACUUUAUUGUCUCUACCUUACAUUUCUAGGCCUAUGUUUUCAUCAUAUACUCCAAUGUAUGUUAUAGAAUGUAAUACAUGGGACUUUGUGCCCUAUAAACUUUAUACAACUUUCAGCAACGGAUCUCUUGGCUCUCGCAUCGAUGAAGAACGCAGCGAAAUGCGAUAAGUAAUGUGAAUUGCAGAAUUCAGUGAAUCAUCGAAUCUUUGAACGCACCUUGCGCUCCUUGGUAUUCCGAGGAGCAUGCCUGUUUGAGUGUCAUUAAUAUAUCAACCUCUUCAACUUUUGCUUGUUUGAGUGUUGGAUGUGGGGGUAUUUUUUGUUGGCUUCUAACGAAGUCAGCUCCCCUCAAAUUUAUUAGCAGAUUAAUUUGUUGAUCCUGUUCAUUGGUGUGAUAAUUAUCUACGCUAUUGACAAGUAAAACAAUUCAGCUUCUAAUAGUCCAUUGACUUGGACAAAUUUUUCAUUAAUGUGACCUCAAAUCAGGUAGGACUACCCGCUGAACUUAAGCAUAUCAAUAAGCGGAGGAAAAGAAACUAACAAGGAUUCCCCUAGUAACUGCGAGUGAAGCGGGAAAAGCUCAAAUUUAAAAUCUGACGGUCUUUGGCUGUCCGAGUUGUAAUCUAGAGAAGCAUUAUCCGCGCUGGACCGUGUACAAGUCUCCUGGAAUGGAGCGUCAUAGAGGGUGAGAAUCCCGUCUUUGACACGGACUGCCAGGGCUUUGUGAUGUGCUCUCAAAGAGUCGAGUUGUUUGGGAAUGCAGCUCAAAAUGGGUGGUAAAUUCCAUCUAAAGCUAAAUAUUGGCGAGAGACCGAUAGCGAACAAGUACCGUGAGGGAAAGAUGAAAAGAACUUUGGAAAGAGAGUUAAACAGUACGUGAAAUUGCUGAAAGGGAAACGCUUGAAGUCAGUCAUGUCAGUCAGGGAUCAGCCUUGCUUUUGCUUGGUGUACUUUCUGGCUGAUAGGUCAGCAUCAAUUUUGACUAUUGGAAAAAGAUUAGGGGAAUGUAGCAUCUUCGGAUGUGUUAUAGCCCUUGGUUGCAUGCAAUGGUUGGGAUUGAGGAACUCAGCACGCCGCAAGGCUGGGUUUUUUAACCACGUACGUGCUUAGGAUGCUGGCAGAAUGGCUUUAAUCGACCCGUCUUGAAA
Molecule: ribosomal RNA, 1350 nt
Filed under: Thaxterogaster croceocoeruleus
Lineage: Eukaryota; Fungi; Basidiomycota; Agaricomycetes; Agaricales; Cortinariaceae
Description: eukaryotic LSU rRNA
Rfam family: Eukaryotic large subunit ribosomal RNA (bases 675-1350)
Source: RNAcentral